This 254-nucleotide ribosomal RNA is filed under the name uncultured Aciditerrimonas sp. RNAcentral describes it as "partial 16S ribosomal RNA". It matches the Rfam family "Bacterial small subunit ribosomal RNA", at positions 524 to 776 of the family's 1533-position model. Lineage: Bacteria; Bacillati; Actinomycetota; Acidimicrobiia; Acidimicrobiales; Acidimicrobiaceae. The record is from RNAcentral.
UACGUAGGGGGCGAGCGUUGUCCGGAUUCAUUGGGCGUAAAGAGCUCGUAGGCGGUUUCGUAAGUCGGGUGUGAAAACCCCAGGCUCAACCUGGGGACGCCACCUGAUACUGCGAUGACUUGAGUCUGGUAGGGGAUCACGGAAUUCCUGGUGUAGCGGUGAAAUGCGCAGAUAUCAGGAGGAACACCGGUGGCGAAGGCGGUGAUCUGGGCCAGUACUGACGCUGAGGAGCGAAAGCGUGGGUAGCAAACAGG